AAACAGAUUGGUGUCAAAACGUGCAAUAAAGUUGUUGCAUCUUUGUUUACUGUUGUGUUGAGCUGGAAAUACUGGCAGUAGAAUCAGGGUCUAUCGUCCAUGACUGACCUCUUUGGUUAGAAGUAGCACAUGGCCUGCAUGCAUCGAGGCCACAUUGCUGAAUAUCAUGUCAUCAUGUGGCAAUGAGUCAAAAUUGGUUUCAUUCACUUCUUUAAUACAAAUAAAAAAUUUGGAAGAAAAAGGAAGAUUUCAUCUGGUUCAUUCAUCUGUUUCCAG
RNAcentral lists this unclassified non-coding RNA (276 nucleotides) under Hevea brasiliensis (rubber tree). The record is from RNAcentral. Lineage: Eukaryota; Viridiplantae; Streptophyta; Magnoliopsida; Malpighiales; Euphorbiaceae.